AACGCACAUUGCGCCCGCCAGCAUUCUGGCGGGCAUGCCUAUUCGAGCGUCAUUUCAACCCUUAAGCCCCUGUUGCUUAGCGUUGGGAGUCUACGUCUACAGCGUAGUUCCUCAAAGUUAGUGGCGGAGUUAGGGUACACUCUCGGCGUAGUAAUAUUUCUCGCUCGUGUGGUGGCCUUGGCUGCUGGCCGUUAAACCCCCUAUAUAUUCUAGUGGUUGACCUCGGAUUAGGUAGGAAUACCCGCUGAACUUAA
This 254-nucleotide unclassified non-coding RNA is filed under the name uncultured Xylariales. RNAcentral describes it as "sequence contains 5.8S rRNA gene, ITS2, 28S rRNA gene". The record is from RNAcentral. Lineage: Eukaryota; Fungi; Ascomycota; Sordariomycetes; Xylariales.